GCCAUGGCUUGGUGGCAGAGCAACUGCUUUGUGUGGUGAAGGUCCCAGGUUCAAUCCCUGGUAUCUGCA
This is a non-coding RNA of Podarcis lilfordi (Lilford's wall lizard), 69 nucleotides long. Lineage: Eukaryota; Metazoa; Chordata; Lepidosauria; Squamata; Lacertidae. The record is from the annotation of a GenBank genome assembly.